Molecule: ribosomal RNA, 466 nt
Filed under: uncultured bacterium
Lineage: Bacteria
Description: partial 16S ribosomal RNA
Rfam family: Bacterial small subunit ribosomal RNA
Source: RNAcentral
GAUGAACGCUGGCGGCGUGCUUAACACAUGCAAGUCGAACGAUGAAGCCCAGCUUGCUGGGUGGAUUAGUGGCGAACGGGUGAGUAACACGUGAGUAACCUGCCCUUGACUCUGGGAUAAGCCUGGGAAACUGGGUCUAAUACUGGAUAUGACUUCUCAUCGCAUGGUGGGGGGUGGAGAGAUUUAUUGGUCUUGGAUGGACUCGCGGCCUAUCAGCUUGUUGGUGAGGUAAUGGCUCACCAAGGCGACGACGGGUAGCCGGCCUGAGAGGGCGACCGGCCACACUGGGACUGAGACACGGCCCAGACUCCUACGGGAGGCAGCAGUGGGGAAUAUUGCACAAUGGGCGCAAGCCUGAUGCAGCGACGCCGCGUGAGGGAUGACGGCCUUCGGGUUGUAAACCUCUUUCAGUAGGGAAGAAGCGAGAGUGACGGUACCUGCAGAAGAAGCGCCGGCUAACUACGUG